This is a long non-coding RNA of Ictalurus furcatus (blue catfish), 3325 nucleotides long. RefSeq lists it as uncharacterized. The transcript has 4 exons. NCBI's taxonomy places the organism in Eukaryota, Metazoa, Chordata, Actinopteri, Siluriformes, Ictaluridae. The record is from RefSeq and is a predicted model, not a curated record.
UAAUUUUAUACCAAAUCAUGUCAGGAAAUACCAGGGUACCCACAAUUGCACACAGCAGCAAUAUUUCUGAGUGAGUGGCUGCGCAGAGCGAGUGGUAACUGACUAACGUUAGCCUUGACCAACUCUGUAACCAUGUGCUCAGCACAAUGGAAUGAAGUGGCCUCCCUGUGUCCUGGUAUGACCUUUAAGGCUAGACAGCCUUUUCUAACUGCCAAAGAGCAUUACUCUGUGUGUUAUACAGCAUAUGGCGUCUUUAACACCACUGCAUAUCAGGCGUAGAGAGCUAGUCUAUUUGCUUUAUUGUGUUUGGAUGAUGGGUAUACACUUGGGAUUAUCUUAAAAAAAAAAAAAAACUCCAACUGAAUAAUUAAUACGUAAUAAAAUGUGAAGAAUAGUGAAGAAAUAAUCCUGCCUGAAGCAUAGAAACAAAAGCUUUUUACAGGCAAAUAAAGCAAACGGCUCACAUCAAGAGACAAACUGAAUCACUUUGUGCAUCAUGGGGUCAUAUUCAACAACAGCUUUUUAAUGUUUUUUUUUUUUUUAAUUUUUUAUUGCUGUUGUUUAACACUGUGUUCAAAAGCGUUAACCUCAGCAUUGACAUUUCGUAAUAUGGCAGAAUGCACGGAAAUUCAGUUUGUGGUUGAUGCUAGAAUUUCAGUGUUAUUCUGUGACAUUUUAGUCUUUUAAGUCAUCUUUUCUUAGUAAUUUAACAACAUGUCUGAAGGAUAUGUUGUUUGUUUUUUUUUUUACCACAAUUUCCACUUUCACUAUGACUUCACAUCGUCCAUAUAAAAGACUUAGUAUGUGCUAGCUAGCCUAAUAUUAUCCUCAGUCUUAUACUUAGCUAACUUAUGCUUAGCAUCCAUGUUUCCCAGUUGCCUAGCAAUGGUGUUCUCUUGGCUGUAACCAUGUCAACAGUGAGCCUUCCCUUGUUGAAAGGACAAACUGAAUUUUGAAUACAUCACCCCUCCACGUGACUUAAAUCAUAUUCAGCAAACUCCGGAUGAAAUGAAAUGUACUGCGAGAAAACUCUAACGAAAUAAUCAGAAGAGUCACCGGCAACUAAUUAUCAUUUAUCUUUAAGUGAUUAUUGAUCAAGUCCAGGCCGCAUUUUUCACUACAUUGACUACUGAAUUGGUGGUUUUAUUGAGCUUGGAAUAAAAGCAGCUUUGAAGAGACAAGCACUGAUAUAGAGUCUCAAAGAGCAUCUGGAAUAUGGUUGGUGUUGCUCUGUAGCUACGUACCUUGAAGGUCCAUUCAUCUUCGGGGACGGCUUCAUGGUGCUCAGGGUGGCAGUGGAGCCAGAGCCUUUCCCAGUAACUCUGGGCUCAAGGCAGGAGAAUUCACCCCAGACGGGAUGUCAGUUCAUCACAGAACAACAUUGGGAGGGAACUGGUCAACCCGGCGGAAACCCACUCAAACACAGGGAGAAUAUACGAAACUCCACACAGACCCCAAGACCAUGGAGCGUUGAGGUGGCAACGUUACCCGCCUCCUAUUCAUGUACAGCUAUAGAUAGAAAGCACAAUUCACAAGAAGUAUAUACAGGAGGUGAGGAUUAACUGUGCAGUCUCCAUGACAACCAGUGAUGGACACAAGCACUCUUAAACUACAGUAAUCUGCAGGGAAAAAUAGCAGGACAGAGAGAGAGAGAGAGAGAGAAGCUCAUACAAGAUAAUACCAGCGUUCUGAUAAAAAUAGCCCCCAUCUUAUGUUGUAUGUACUUAAUGCUACACAUUCUAUAAUUGCUCAGGCUUUCAGAGAGCGCACUAUUAAAACUUGGCUAAUUUGUAAUGAAGGCAGUACUGAACAAUUGAUUUGUGUGGGCAGAAAGUAGGAGGAAACAUAAUGGUUUGAAAGCAUGCAGAAUCAGGCCACGUAUGAACGGUGAGAGUAAAAAGCAGUUGACGGAGAGCUGAGACGAACCGAGAACGAACAACCGCCGAGAGUGUUGUUUUGUCUAUAGAUGUCUAUAUACGCCAUGUUUAUUUAAGCCAAAGUCGCAGGAACUUUGUACUCACAUGUUAAUAAUUUAACACCAAGUAUGUUGUCCCUCCAUCACAGAGGUAGUCAGAGAUAGACUGUGUAAAGUGACCCGGAAUCUGUCCGUCAUGAUAAAUAUGUCCUUUUAAUGCUGAUCCCAUACUUCACUGACUCGCAAAACGUGACGUCAUCGUUUAGAGCGACUCGAUGAUAGAUCUUAUUACCUCCCGUGAGUAUAUAGCAGGAAGGAUGAGGGGGUGGAUGUGUGCAAUGAUACAAGCAUGGCGCUUCAUAGGAAGGCUAGCAUCAACAUGAAGAGAUUGAGCAGCUAGGCAGAGGACAUACGGUACAGAACAACCCCGGUCCUUUGCUGCUAAAAUGAGCAGACUCUCAGAUCAACUUUGAACUGUCCUUGGACUUACGAAACAGAGACAUAAAUGAGAUUCGGUGCGCAAAAUAUUAUUAACAUGGGAAGAAACUAGAACCCAAUCUUGCAUACGUUGUUAAAAAGACGUCGGAUUCGCAAUAAUAAUAAUCCCAUUAGUGGUUCCUAAUAUCGAUCUGUCGAGUCACCAGCAUAGAUCGUUUCUAGAUGUUACCUUAAUUCCAGAAGACGUUUUGGAAGCCAUUAUGUAAUUACAGUCGGAGAAAACACCAGGGCCAGGUUUUGUGUUAGGUUUUCCAUUGAAUUCAUUGAUCUGAUAAUAGAGCCACGACUUAAUAUGUUUUAAAGCUCCUGAGCUUUUCUAUUUAAUACUCUGCUUCAGGGUUUAUGUACUUGGGUAUUAUUAUGACUCCUAAAAUGAAUCAGAUAUUUAGUGCUAUAUUUGUUUCAGUGUUUUGGUGGAAAAUAAGUCUAGCUCUUGAAUAAUAAUGGUCACUUCCAGUCUCAAACUAGGUUGUAUAUCCAUUAUAAAUAAUUACCUGUAUUACUGAAUCCUAUUUUAAUAAUCCCAGAUUUCUUUUUCACGGUAUGAAAAGAGCUCGAGUUGUUGGCCAAAUAUAUUUAUAUUGUAAAUGCAAAUCCAACACUGAAAAUGACAGCUUUACAGUUACUAGGAACUGUUACUGGCCUGGAUCUAUUUAAUGUAAGAGUUGUAUGCCCUUUAAUGGGCAAUGUAUAUACCUGACAAGCUGUUAACCUCUGCUGUCUAACUAGAUGGAAAUAACUGCCAUAACAACGUAUCCACUGCAGGACCUGAUUUCCCCUCCCUAACAUAUACUGUAAAAGAAAGACCCCAUUAUGCUCAAUAAUGUAAAAACAUCUUGAACAGACUUUCGCUCUAGUGUUUCAGUAGUACAAACACACGACGCAUGUCACGCUUUAAUAUUGAAGUAUUUU